AUUGAACGCUGGCGGCAUGCUUUACACAUGCAAGUCGAACGGCAGCGCGGGCUUCGGCCUGGCGGCGAGUGGCGAACGGGUGAGUAAUGCAUCGGAACGUGCCCAGUAGUGGGGGAUAGCCCGGCGAAAGCCGGAUUAAUACCGCAUACGACCUGAGGGUGAAAGCGGGGGACCGAAAGGCCUCGCGCUCUUGGAGCGGCCGAUGUCGGAUUAGCUAGUUGGUGGGGUAAAGGCUUACCAAGGCGACGAUCCGUAGCUGGUCUGAGAGGACGACCAGCCACACUGGGACUGAGACACGGCCCAGACUCCUACGGGAGGCAGCAGUGGGGAAUUUUGGACAAUGGGGGCAACCCUGAUCCAGCCAUGUCGCGUGCGGGAAGAAGGCCUUCGGGUUGUAAACCGCUUUUGUUCGGGAAGAAAUCCUCUGGGCUAAUACCCCGGGGGGAUGACGGUACCGGAAGAAUAAGCACCGGCUAACUACGUG
This 484-nucleotide ribosomal RNA is filed under the name uncultured bacterium. RNAcentral's name for it is "partial 16S ribosomal RNA". It matches the Rfam family "Bacterial small subunit ribosomal RNA", at positions 28 to 507 of the family's 1533-position model. The record is from RNAcentral.